CCCACGUAGUAACCGGGCACUCUCUUGCGCCAAUGGCGGACUUACACCCAGGAUCCGACCAACGUAACGGAGGCAUGUGACGCAUCUUGCGUAGGAGCUGCACAGAAUACAGGGCACCAUUUCCUUAAAUAAACCAAGCGAACCCACUGCACAUGCGCGCUCUGCAGAGGACGUUGUUAUCUCCUCGUCCCAUAAUCGCUCGCAGGUACCCAGCGGUGGAUGUACUGUAUUCUCCACGCAUCCAGGUGAAGAUGUCCUACAGUGCCAUGCUCGCCUUCCUUUCGGCCCUUCCUAUCUCUCUGGGUAUAAGAGAAGAAGCCCAGAUUGUGUGUGCUGGGAGGGAAUUCCGUCUGCCGGUUUACUCCUCAUCCAGAAUGGUGACUUUUACACCAAACCCCGAGGGGCCACGCCGCGUCCUGCUGGACAAAACCAUUGUGAAGGACCCGCGGUUUGAGUGGACCAGAGACAGGAUGCUGGUUCUGAGAGAAGUGACUCACGAUGAUGAGGGGCUUUACGCCAUCAAACUGGUCUCUGGAUUCACCUACGAGGCCGUUCGUUUGAUUGUUUCAGAAUGCAUCAAGUCCUACCACGGAAAAUACGGCGAUAAGUUUGAGCACAGCAUCCCCGAAAACGGCUCCCUGCUGGAGUUCUCUCCCCGGGGCGCUCCGCCGGAGGCCAUGCCGGUCCUUCUGUGGAACCGGACCGACCCCGUGACCAGCGAUGCCGGCC
This is a long non-coding RNA of Gasterosteus aculeatus aculeatus (three-spined stickleback), 729 nucleotides long. NCBI's taxonomy places the organism in Eukaryota, Metazoa, Chordata, Actinopteri, Perciformes, Gasterosteidae. The record is from Ensembl.